Molecule: ribosomal RNA, 206 nt
Filed under: uncultured bacterium
Lineage: Bacteria
Description: partial 16S ribosomal RNA
Rfam family: Bacterial small subunit ribosomal RNA
Source: RNAcentral
UCUGAUGUGAAAGCCUUCGGCUUAACCGGAGAAGUGCAUCGGAAACUGGAUAACUUGAGUGCAGAAGAGGGUAGUGGAACUCCAUGUGUAGCGGUGGAAUGCGUAGAUAUAUGGAAGAACACCAGUGGCGAAGGCGGCUACCUGGUCUGCAACUGACGCUGAGACUCGAAAGCAUGGGUAGCGAACAGGAUUAGAUACCCUGGUAG